This 740-nucleotide small RNA is filed under the name Pongo abelii (Sumatran orangutan). RNAcentral's name for it is "retained intron". Lineage: Eukaryota; Metazoa; Chordata; Mammalia; Primates; Hominidae. The record is from RNAcentral.
CUGGUUCCUGUGAGGGUUUGGUUUCGGGCUUGAGCUCUCUGCGUUCUGGGCUCGGUGAUUCAGCCACAGCUUCUGCCUCCCGUUGCUCUGUGACCUGAGGGCGUUGGGCGAUUUGUAGCUAAGACUCCCGGAUACCCUGAAGUCGGGAAAUGGAACUCUUAACAUUCAGGGAUGUGGCCAUAGAAUUCUCCCCUGAAGAGUGGAAAUGUCUGGACCCUGCCCAGCAGAAUUUGUAUAGAGAUGUGAUGUUGGAGAACUACAGGAACCUGGUCUCCCUGGGUUUUGUGAUCUCUAACCCAGACCUGGUCACCUGUCUGGAGCAAAUAAAAGAGCCCUGCGAUUUGAAGAUACAUGAGACAGCAGCCAAACCCCCAGGUAGGUGAGACUGAAUGAAGGAGAGGACACAGGCUAGGAGGCCCGAGGUCAGGAAGGAAGCCAGGCCUUCAAAUGUAGUUUGGGAAACUGCGCCAAUAAAAAUAAUUUCUGAAAGGGCUGUAUUUUUUCUCUUAUUCACAAAUAGGGUCAUCUUCUGUCCUAUGCUCUUAAAUCUUCUAAGAUUUUCCUUUUUUUCUUCAGUGAUCUCCAUUCAAGUUUACAGGGAGAGCCAAUGUCCACUUCAUCGCUUAUAACGGGCUGCGUAAUCUGACUGCUGUUCCAUUGCUUUUAGAGACAUAGGAGUAUUUGUAUUAUUGAGGACCUCUAUGUUAAAAUAUUUUUUCAAAUAUUAUUUUCGCAUCAUG